AUUGAACGCUGGCGGCAUGCUUUACACAUGCAAGUCGAACGGUAACAGGCCUUCGGGUGCUGACGAGUGGCGAACGGGUGAGUAAUGCAUCGGAACGUGCCCAGAGGUGGGGGAUAACGCAGCGAAAGCUGUGCUAAUACCGCAUGUGAUCUGAGGAUGAAAGCGGGGGACCAGGCAGCAAUGUUUGGCCUCGCGCCUUUGGAGCGGCCGAUGUCAGAUUAGGUAGUUGGUGGGGUAAAGGCCUACCAAGCCGACGAUCCGUAGCUGGUCUGAGAGGACGAACCGCCAAACUGGGACUGAGACAAGGGCCCGACUCCCUCGGGAGGCAAGAGUGGGGAAUUUUUCGAAAAGGGCGAAAGGCUGAAUCCGCAAAGCCGCGGGGGGGAAGAAGGUCUUUGGGUUUGAAAACCCUUUUUGUAGGGAAGAAAAAGGGUGUGGGUAAUUCCGGGGGCUUAGGCCGGACCCAAAAAGAAAACCACGGGCAAACUAGUG
RNAcentral lists this ribosomal RNA (492 nucleotides) under uncultured bacterium. Its description in RNAcentral is "partial 16S ribosomal RNA". It matches the Rfam family "Bacterial small subunit ribosomal RNA", at positions 29 to 507 of the family's 1533-position model. The record is from RNAcentral.